GACGAACGCUGGCGGCGUGCCUAAUACAUGCAAGUUGAGCGCUGAAGGUUGGUACUUGUACCAACUGGAUGAGCAGCGAACGGGUGAGUAACGCGUGGGGAAUCUGCCUUUGAGCGGGGGACAACAUUUGGAAACGAAUGCUAAUACCGCAUAAAAACUUUAAACACAAGUUUUAAGUUUGAAAGGUGCAAUUGCAUCACUCAAAGAUGAUCCCGCGUUGUAUUAGCUAGUUGGUGAGGUAAAGGCUCACCAAGGCGAUGAUACAUAGCCGACCUGAGAGGGUGAUCGGCCACAUUGGGACUGAGACACGGCCCAAACUCCUACGGGAGGCAGCAGUAGGGAAUCUUCGGCAAUGGACGAAAGUCUGACCGAGCAACGCCGCGUGAGUGAAGAAGGUUUUCGGAUCGUAAAACUCUGUUGGUAGAGAAGAACGUUGGUGAGAGUGGAAAGCUCAUCAAGUGACGGGAACUACCCAGAAAGGGACGGCUAACUACGU
Molecule: ribosomal RNA, 496 nt
Filed under: uncultured bacterium
Lineage: Bacteria
Description: partial 16S ribosomal RNA
Rfam family: Bacterial small subunit ribosomal RNA
Source: RNAcentral